ACCCUUGUGAAGUCCUGUAAAUAGUUACUAUAUUCAAGGUGUCGGCUUCGGCCGUCUAUGGUGCUAAACGGGCUUAUGGAAUAAGCGUUGUGGACCCGGGGGCGGUACCCGGCGCCUCCACCAUUCCCUCCCGGAGAUUUCUCCGAGAGAUUUAUGGGGGCGAAAUAGGAUCGACACGCGUAGUAAAGAUUUGUUCGGUGCCCGGCAUGGUUCCGCCGUUAUCGGGCCGUUUGAGUAGUUGCAAAUGACAAUACUCGUGAGGUAGCUCUCGCUGCUUAAUUGCAGUCGGAGCAACCGCUUUUAAGCCCUAGGCUCUCACAAGCCUAGGCGGGGUUCGGGGGUGCACCUGGCAACAGAAGCCCCCCACU
RNAcentral lists this transfer-messenger RNA (368 nucleotides) under Kiloniella laminariae. It matches the Rfam family "Alphaproteobacteria transfer-messenger RNA". Rfam says of the family: Bacterial tmRNA, also known as 10Sa RNA or SsrA, is named for its dual tRNA and mRNA-like properties. Its role is to liberate the mRNA from a stalled ribosome. The record is from RNAcentral. Lineage: Bacteria; Pseudomonadati; Pseudomonadota; Alphaproteobacteria; Rhodospirillales; Kiloniellaceae.